GAUGAACGCUGGCGGCGUGCCUAAUACAUGCAAGUCGAGCGAACAGACGAGGAGCUUGCUCCUCUGACGUUAGCGGCGGACGGGUGAGUAACACGUGGAUAACCUACCUAUAAGACUGGGAUAACUUCGGGAAACCGGAGCUAAUACCGGAUAAUAUAUUGAACCGCAUGGUUCAAUAGUGAAAGACGGUUUUGCUGUCACUUAUAGAUGGAUCUGGGCCGCAUUAGCUAGUUGGUAAGGUAACGGCUUACCAAGGCAACGAUGCGUAGCCGAACUGAGAGAGUGAUCGGCCGCCCUGGAACUGAGACACGGACCAGACUCCUACGGGAGGCAGCAGUAGCGAAUCUUCCGCAAUAGGCGAAAACUUGGCGGAGCGACGCCGCGUGAGUGGUGAAGGUCUUCGGAUCGUAAAGCUCUGUUAUUAGGGGAGAACAAAUGUGUAAGUAACUAUGCACGUCUUGACGGUACCUAAUCAGAAAGCCACGGCUAACUACGUG
Molecule: ribosomal RNA, 497 nt
Filed under: uncultured bacterium
Lineage: Bacteria
Description: partial 16S ribosomal RNA
Rfam family: Bacterial small subunit ribosomal RNA
Source: RNAcentral